Long non-coding RNA from Boleophthalmus pectinirostris (great blue-spotted mudskipper), 617 nucleotides. RefSeq lists it as uncharacterized. The transcript has 3 exons. The record is from RefSeq and is a predicted model, not a curated record. Lineage: Eukaryota; Metazoa; Chordata; Actinopteri; Gobiiformes; Gobiidae.
GGAGAGUUGUCCUCCGAGACUGUCUCAUCUCCAACAGGACCCAGGACAACAAGAGUGUGUUUCUGACCUGCUCAGACUUCUACCCUGGUGUCAAGACGUUGGUCUCCUCAGAGGGAGUUUUUCAGUCCAGGGGGCACAGGGCUCUUGUGAGGUCCGGUGCAGACUUCAGUGUCUCCUGCUUUUUAGAUAAACCAUUCUACUCUGGUUUUUUUCCACCUGCUGGCUCCAAGUGGGAAUUACACCCUGCCAUCUGUCAAUCACUCUGCACACUUCCUGUUCACAGCCUUUGGUCCUGAACACACAGGGAACUACACCUGUGGUUACAGUGAAGUUAAUUCAAGUAAAAUCCUAAAGAACGUGACCCUGUACAUCGGCCGUGGAGUGGCAGACUCAGACCUGCUCCUGAGAGCCGGGAUCCAUGUUCUCAUCCUGCUCAUCUCCACCACUGCACUGUACUUCUACUGCCAGGUAAAACACAGGACAAAAACAAGACCAGACCACAACUCUGAUCCAAAGUUCAGAGGUUAGAAUCCUGCUCCCACAUAAAACAGUAUUGAUACCACCUCCCACUGAUGAAUGCUGUUGUUGUGCCUUUGGGCAAGACACUUAGUCCUCCC